This 4262-nucleotide long non-coding RNA is filed under the name Capsicum annuum. RNAcentral's name for it is "long non-coding RNA (CANN_LNC011932)". Lineage: Eukaryota; Viridiplantae; Streptophyta; Magnoliopsida; Solanales; Solanaceae. The record is from RNAcentral.
UAUUCAGAUGAAAUAAAUAUUUCAAUUUUAUUAAAAAUCGAAGAAAUUCGGGAUUAAAAGUAGUCGUGGAGGGCAAAAAUUAGGUGUCAACACAACAACUAAUGAACUAAAACCCUAUAUUGCUCUAUUUAUAGUACAUUACAAAUAAAAGAUAAAAUGACAAAAAGGUCCUUUAAUGACCAAGUAGACAAAUAGGCGCACAUGGAGUGUGCUUAAAGGCGACUUUGGAGCCCCUUUUAACACUUCAACUCGUACACUCCCGAGGUUGCAUUCAACACACUAAAAAAUGUCCAUCUUCAUGAUUGUACCCAUAUCAUCCUCUCCAUCUUGAGAGAAAUUUGACCUCAAAUUCACGGCACAAACCAAAUAAAAUGGUACAAAACAAUCGAUAAAAUAAGAGAAAUCGAGAACACAACAUCUUCAAGUCUCGGCCAACAUCUUCAUUUUGUACCUCGGCUUCCUCUCCAUCUUGAGAUUUGCCUUUAAUCUCAUCCGGAUCAAUUGAGUUUAGCCAUGAAAUUUUACUACAAAACAACAAAGGAGUUAGUUGUAAAAGAAAGGUCCUCACACUCUCUCUUUAUUUCUUUGUUCUCGAAUUCCUCACACUUAAUCUCACAAGUGUUGUAUGCUUGCUUGUACUCUGUAAGGUGUUGAGAGGUAGACCAAAUGUUUACAAUGACUCCAAAGAAUAGGAAAGAAAACACACAAGGACGUAAACACGGAGAACGAUUUCAAAACCAACUCACAAUCUAGUAAAUGGACACUAUCUUGUAAAUUAGUAUUGAAAUCAACAAACGAAACUAAGGACACAACAAAAUGAAACUAAGAGAUUAAAAUUUAAGAUUAAAAUUUUCGUGUGAACAGUAAAUGAUGACGUGGAAACCAUGUAUUGGUUGCGGUUUUUAAAACAAGUUGUUAUUUUUCAAUUUGGAAGUCUUGGUCAAUUUUCAAUUUGGAUUAGUGAGAUUUGGUUAAUGGAGGGUAAGACAAGUCUUGGAACUCCUUUCAAAUUCAAACACAAAAAGUAUUGACUUGACUUGUACCUUUUCCUCAAAACAUGAACCUUAAAACAUGGAAAAGUGAUUGAGAAGUGAUGUAAAGUCUUUGGGUGGCUGGAAGCCUUUCAAGACUAACAAGUAAACUUUUCCUCCUUCACCUUUUUAGGAUCUAUCAUUCACUUUAUGUUUUAACAAUAGAUGAAUGAGGUGAAGAACUUCAAGAACAACAACAACCACACCAAGAACAACAAUAAUUCCACGACCACUUCCAAAUCUACAACAAACAAGGCCUUCAAUACACGGCCAAGACUACUACACUCCAACACAAUGUUCUUAGGCCACCAAUUAUCAACAAUAAUAUCACAAGGCCUCACUUAGAACAUCAACAACAACAACCAACGUUUAAUAUAAUCAACAAUAUCACCAAUACACAAUCAAAGGUGAAGCCAUUACAACAAUGCAAGAACAAUAGGCCAAAGUUAUGUUCGCAACAACAAGAUCAACAAUUCAAGCUCAAAUCUAAAUCUAAACUCAAGAGUGUUAGUGAUGAAGAAAACUAACACUAGAAACAACAAAACUAACAAAAUGACUUCUAGAUCUAGACAAGAAAACAAGUCUCGGCCUCAACAACAACAAGGACACAACUUUCAGCCAAGACAACUCAAGAACACUUUUUUUUUUGAAAUUUCUAGCAAGCCCGAGAUUGAUUUUGUUGAAACAAAAGCAACCACAAGAUUUGAUACCAAAUGAUGCGAUACAAACAACGAAUUGUACCAAAAACUACACAAAAACAGUCCAUAAACAAGAAGGAACCUGAGCUCAACAACACCAAAACCUCGGGUCCAACAAGAACAAGAACAAGGUGUAAAUGACACCAAAAGCAGCCACAAAAACAAGAGAUAAACAACACUAUAACAAGAAGCACCACACUAGGAUAACAACAAUCCAACGUUACAAGAUUACAAGACACAACAAGAACCAACGGGUUCACUAGACAACACAAAUUAAGACAUGAAAUAUAAAGAUAGAUAGUGAGACAUACACUAUUACAAGAUUAGGAACCAAGGAUAUAUUAAAUCUAAGGACCCUAAAACUUACAAUAGUAACACCACACACUUACAAAAACAUAAGAGGGAUUCCACCGCUCAAGCACCAAUGUUUUCAAGCAAUACACAUUCACAAGUGAAUCCACACUUGCUCAUGUCCUAGUUUCGGCCUAGGGAGGCUCCCUCUCUCAAAAGAGGUAUUCUUUGUGUUCUUACAUCAACAUUCAACAACUAAUAAACUAAAACCCUAUAUUGUUCUAUUUAUAGUACAUUACAAAUAAAAGAUAAAAUGACAAAAAGGUCCUUUAAUAACCAAGUAGACAAAUAGGUGCCCAUGGAGUGUGCUUAGGGGCGACUUUGAAGCCCCUUUUAACACUUAAACUCGUAUAAUCCCGAGGUUGCAUUCAACACACUAAAAAAUGUCCAUCUUCAUGAUCGUGCUCGUAUCACAAGUCACCUUUGAAAAUUCUUUUUCAAAAUAAUUGUUGACUCUUUAAAACUGGUUUGCGAACAGAGAUUUAGGCCAAAGAAUUCUGUUGACCGAGGGGAAGGUGCUAGGCACCCCUCAAUCUCGUGGUUAUCACGGUCGUUCUUGGAAUAUAUCGACUAAUUUAACGCUAUGAAGUGAAUAAACCACAGAACACACAACACAAACAAAUCAAACAAACAAAAAUCCAAAAAAAAGGUUAAUGUCGAGUCCAAUUAUUACAAAUCAAAAAAAUGUGGAAAUGUAAACCUACUCUAUUCUAGGUUAAUCCUAAACUACGCUCCAAUGCUUUACCCGAGGCAUCAUGCCUUGAUCACGAACAUCGUCAAAGUACAAGAUACUUUGGGGCAUUCAUCGUGGAAUAAAUACAAAUAAACUCAGGGCAUUGCCCGGCUAAAUGAAUACAUUUUUCAAAUACAAAAAAAAAUAGAAUCAUUCCACCAACAUUUCAAAUCGUCCAACAAUUCACAAUUUCAAAAUUUACCUACCCGACCUACUGUUUUCCUACCAAUUUCAACCCAUCAUGAUACUUUUGCCUUUAACAAACAUCAAUACUUAUUCCGAAUUAAAUAAUCAUCAACACAUCAGACUAAUGAAUAUUCACCUUUAUCAAUUUUUAAUUUUUCCCCAAAUAACUGAUUUUAAUUCUUAAUAAGAUAUUCUUUCAUUGCACAAUUCAUAAUCAAGGGAAUCAAACAAGCAAUCAAAACAAUCAACAAUUCACAUCAUCACAAAUCAACCAACACAUUGUGUUUAAUUCAAUGCAUCGAAUAUAACAAACAACGAAAUAAAAGAGAUUUGACGAUUUAUUUUCAAUUAAAUGAAAAACCUUCGCGCAUCCGAAACCUCACGCUAACAAUCCCGCAACUCGAACAACCCAAACAUCCGACCCGCUCCUAUCUUUCACUGAUUCAAGAAAAAAUCAGGAACAACAAGGAUAGCGACGCCUAAACCCCACGCAACCGGUCUGUUUUGAUUCUUUUUCGGUGACUUUGUCAUUGAUUUUUGGGCGAUUUCAGUGGUGGUGCAUUUGGUCACCGUUAAUGGCAUCUUCCGAUGGUGGUUCGGCCGGCGGGGCAAGAAAUUAGGACUUAAUGAUUGCUUUUCGGUGGGGUAUCGCUGGAAUCAACUCAAAUGGGUGACUGAUUGUUGUUUGUUUCGAAGCUGGCCGAAUUUUUGCGGAAUGACGAUUCCGGCGAAAUACUUCACCGGAAAGAGCUGAACGGAGUUGUUUUAUCCCUUUUUCGUUCACUCACCUCUGAAUUUUUUCUCAAUUCCUCUUUUCACUCUUCGUUUACUUCUUUUUCGAUUGUGUGUGCGUGCAUCGUUGUGUGUCUUUGAUCGGUGUCUUCACUGUAUGUGGAGUGUGUGUAUCGUGAAGGGAAUAUAGUGAGGUGUGUAUGUGAGUGGAAUUAUGUGAAUUGCUGUUGGAAUGGUGAGUAUAUGAGAGAGGAGUGUGUUGUUUGUUGUUGCUGUGUGUGAUGUGAGAGUAUGUGUAGUGUUGCCGUCUACAGAUGGAAAUUGUGUCCAAUUCUGUUAUGGCAUCCGUUGAGGAAAACGUGAGUGGGGGUAUAUGGGUAGGGGCAGGGGUAGGGUUGGUGAGGUUGGGGUAGGGGUAGGGGUGUGUGGAGUAGGGUGGUAAGGAUGGGAUAAAAUUUGUUAGGGUGAAGUGUCAAAAAUGAUUAAAAGUUUGUUGGAUUUGUUAUCGAGUGGAAAUUAUUAUAUGAGUGA